Molecule: long non-coding RNA, 1146 nt
Organism: Gasterosteus aculeatus aculeatus (three-spined stickleback)
Lineage: Eukaryota; Metazoa; Chordata; Actinopteri; Perciformes; Gasterosteidae
Source: Ensembl
GUUCGUGUCAGAAGUUCAUUGUUACAAGACGGCGUGAGAGCUUGGGAUUUGUUCUGGGAGAUCACUGCAAACCUCUAACACACGUGUGUGCUUUCAGCUUAAUGACAAUAACCACUUUUACUGGAGUCAUGUCUUUUCUCCAUCUGCAUGUCUUUAAAAACUGACCAAUAGCGAUGGAGUAUUAUUAUUAAUAUCCCCGUCAGUGUCCAGCUCAGAUCCACAGACCGUCUGCACAGCAGAUGCCUGUGAGAGCUGCUUGAUUCAUUGCUACACGAUCCCAUAGUCGUGUCCUGGUGGGACCUCGUGGUGGAAGAGGCUCGCUCACGUCUUGUCCCGGGACUUGUGCUGUUCACUCCUCUUUUGCUUUUUUUUUUUUUUUUUACCUCUUCCGCUGGAAUAAAUUGCAAGGGAAGAAGUGCAGUAUGGCUGUUUUACUCCCAACGACUCCAUGCGUUUCUCAUGAAAUCCCCAGUCUCCCGUUGUGAGGGGUUUUCUUUAGUUGUAGAGGAAUCUACUUGUGUGCCACAAGACAGAUUCCCUGACGCGGAAGAACAUUACGUUACUUUUUAACUCAUUCGGCAAAGAAUUCUUCUCCAGCGUGAAUUCAUUAUCGAGGCUAAUUGCAUUGAAAUGACGCACGUCCUGUUCACACUUCCUGCAGGAAGUGACAUUGAGUGUUAGGAAGUUAGUUAAGGGGUCUGGUAGGCCUGAGGCUCUGUUGCACGUUACAUUUUCUGCACUGCUGUCAGAUUGGUUAAAGUAACCUUAAAUAUGCUUUGCCACAAGCCUUUGUCUGUGAGGGACCAUCGAAUGAGGUGUUUGCUGAGCAGCUGAGCCUGUGAAGGCCCCGCAGGCGGCCAUGUUGGAUCUCUUCCUCAGAGUGCUGGUGUUGACCCGUCUCCACCCGUCGCCUCGCACCACCCGGCUGCCCACCUAACUCCUCGCUCCUGCUCUCCUCCCGCAUCUCGUUCUCCCAGCGUCCGGCCAGGAGAAAGGUCCUUGUGUAAAAUGUCCUAUGCACACCACAAGCUGCCCACCUGGAGCUCACCUCACCUGCUCCUCCUGCCACUGUCCUACCUCUUGCUCUUGGCGGCUCCCCCAGAUGUGUCGGCAAACCUCUGCCGGGUGACCGGGGGGAUGCUGGGG